AUUACCUUCGGGGGUAGAGCACUGUUUUGGCUAGGGGGUCAUGGCGACUUACCAAACCAAGGCAAACUCCGAAUACCGAAGAGUACAGCUUGGGAGACAGAGCACCGGGUGCUAACGUCCGGACUCAAGAGGGAAACAACCCAGACCGCCAGCUAAGGUCCCUAAAAUUGGCUAAGUGGGAAACGAAGUGGGAAGGCUAAAACAGUCAGGAUGUUGGCUUAGAAGCAGCCAUCAUUUAAAGAAAGCGUAAUAGCUCACUGAUCGAGUCGUCCUGCGCGGAAGAUGUAACGGGGCUAAGCCAGUUACCGAAGCUGCGGAUUUGCAAUUUAUUGCAAGUGGUAGGAGAGCGUUCUGUAAGCCUGUGAAGGUGCGUUGUAAAGCGUGCUGGAGGUAUCAGAAGUGCGAAUGCUGACAUGAGUAGCGUUAAAGGGGGUGAAAAGCCCCCUCGCCGUAAGCGCAAGGUUUUCUACGCAACGUUCAUCGGCGUAGAGUGAGUCGGCCCCUAAGGCGAGGCAGAGAUGCGUAGUUGAUGGGAAACAGGUCAAUAUUCCUGUACCGAUGUGUAGUGCGAUGUGGGGACGGAGAAGGUUAGCUCAGCCAACUGUUGGAUAUGUUGGUUCAAGCCUGUAGUCGUGCCUGGUAGGCAAAUCCGCCAGGCUUAGAUGAGGGGUGAUAACGAGGCUGCUUGCAGACGAAGUGAGUGAUACCCUGCUUCCAGGAAAAGCCACUAAGCUUCAGCUAUUGACGACCGUACCGCAAACCGACACUGGUGCGCGAGAUGAGUAUUCUAAGGCGCUUGAGAGAACUCAGGAGAAGGAACUCGGCAAAUUGACACCGUAACUUCGGGAGAAGGUGUACCCCAAGUCAGUGAAGUUGAACAAACGGAGCUAAAAGGGGUUGCAAAAAAUUGGUGGCUGCGACUGUUUAAUAAAAACACAGCACUCUGCAAACACGAAAGUGGACGUAUAGGGUGUGACGCCUGCCCGGUGCUGGAAGAUUAAAUGAUGGGGUGCAAGCUCUUGAUUGAAGUCCCAGUAAACGGCGGCCGUAACUAUAACGGUCCUAAGGUAGCGAAAUUCCUUGUCGGGUAAGUUCCGACCUGCACGAAUGGCGUAACGAUGGCCACACUGUCUCCUCCUGAGACUCAGCGAAGUUGAAAUGUUUGUGAUGAUGCAAUCUCCCCGCGGAAAGACGGAAAGACCCCAUGAACCUUUACUGUAGCUUUGUAUUGGACUUUGAACGGAUCUGUGUAGGAUAGGUGGGAGGCUUUGAAGUGCGGUCGCUAGAUCGCAUGGAGCCAACGUUGAAAUACCACCCUGGUGCGUUUGUGGUUCUUACCUUGGUCCAUGAUCUGGAUCGGGGACAGUGCAUGGUAGGCAGUUUGACUGGGACAGUCUCCUCCCAAA
RNAcentral lists this ribosomal RNA (1406 nucleotides) under freshwater sediment metagenome. RNAcentral's name for it is "bacterial LSU rRNA". It matches the Rfam family "Bacterial large subunit ribosomal RNA", at positions 889 to 2294 of the family's 2925-position model. The record is from RNAcentral.